GGGCGCGUGGCCUAGCCUGGAUAGGGCGCUGGCCUUCUAAGCCAGUAGUCGCGGGUUCGAAUCCCGUCGCGCCCG
RNAcentral lists this transfer RNA (75 nucleotides) under Thermoplasmata archaeon. RNAcentral's name for it is "tRNA-Arg". It matches the Rfam family "tRNA". Rfam says of the family: Transfer RNA (tRNA) molecules are approximately 80 nucleotides in length. Their secondary structure includes four short double-helical elements and three loops (D, anti-codon, and T loops). RNAcentral also lists the same sequence under 2 other names. Lineage: Archaea; Methanobacteriati; Thermoplasmatota; Thermoplasmata. The record is from RNAcentral.